GAGAACGCAGGCGAAUGUGGCAUUCGCACACUGUAUGCUUGAAGUAGUGAUGAUGGGCAAAUUCGCAUCACUUAUAGCAGUCUAUGAAAGCAACCCAAAAGCUGUCUUCGAAGAAGCCAAGCGUUGCGCCAUGCCGUACAGCGAGAGUUUGUUGAGCACGGAAGAACAUGUUAAUGCUGCGGCUCACUGGAUUUUCGAAGCCCUGCGAAGCGACGACCCGAAGAGAAGUCUGCUGCACUAACGAAAUAAAUCUAGA
This 256-nucleotide long non-coding RNA is filed under the name Dermacentor andersoni. Its description in RNAcentral is "uncharacterized LOC126537860". The record is from RNAcentral. Lineage: Eukaryota; Metazoa; Arthropoda; Arachnida; Ixodida; Ixodidae.